GAUAAACGCUGGCGGCGUGCCUAAAACAUGCAAGUCGAACGGUUCAGAGCUUUCGGGUUCUGGAUAGUGGCGGACGGCUGAGUAACACGUGGGUGACCUACCUUCGAACGGGGGAUAACUGCCCGAAAGGGUGGCUAAUACCGCAGACAUCAUGGGUUCGUCCUCAUGAUUGAACCGAUUCAGGGUUCGGAGAGGGGCCCGCGGCCGAUUAGCUAGCUGGUGGGGUAACGGCCUACCAGGGCANCGAUCGGUAGCUGGUCUGAGAGGAUGAUCAGCCAGACUGGGACUGCGAACGGCCCAGACUCCUACGGGAGGCAGCAGUUAGGAAUUUUGGGCAAUGGGCGAAAGCCUGACCCAGCAACGCCGCGUGGGUGAUGAAGGCCCUCGGGUCGUAAA
RNAcentral lists this ribosomal RNA (396 nucleotides) under uncultured bacterium. RNAcentral describes it as "bacterial SSU rRNA". It matches the Rfam family "Bacterial small subunit ribosomal RNA", at positions 28 to 429 of the family's 1533-position model. The record is from RNAcentral.